ACGAAUCAUCAUCACUCUUGGCGAGCCAACACUCCGGUUGAGAUUGAUCAAGGUUUAGGACAUAUAGCCUAUUCCGUGUGCGAUUAACACGAGCUAGCACGUUUCGGAGGUUGUCGAAGAUCGUCAUCACUCCGCUCUCGAUAUUCACCUUCCAUCCAUUCUCGUCAAACUUCCCAAUAGAGAUGAUGUUGUUGCGCAGCCGUGGGAUGUAGUACACUCCGGUG
This 224-nucleotide long non-coding RNA is filed under the name Hordeum vulgare. RNAcentral's name for it is "long non-coding RNA (HVUL_LNC012923)". Lineage: Eukaryota; Viridiplantae; Streptophyta; Magnoliopsida; Poales; Poaceae. The record is from RNAcentral.